GACGAACCGUGCGAACGUUGUUCGGAAUCACUGGGCUUAAAGGGCGCGUAGGCGGUCUGCCAAGUCGGGGGUGAAAUCUUUCGGCUUAACCGGAAAAGGGCUUUCGAUACUGGCAGACUUGAGGGAGGUAGGGGCAGAUGGAACUUCCGGUGGAGCGGUGAAAUGUGUUGAUAUCGGAAGGAACGCCGGUGGCGAAAGCGAUCUGCUGGACCUCUACUGACGCUGAGGCGCGAAAGCCAGGGGAGCAAACGGG
RNAcentral lists this ribosomal RNA (253 nucleotides) under uncultured bacterium. Its description in RNAcentral is "partial 16S ribosomal RNA". It matches the Rfam family "Bacterial small subunit ribosomal RNA", at positions 524 to 776 of the family's 1533-position model. The record is from RNAcentral.